This 25364-nucleotide long non-coding RNA is filed under the name Ananas comosus (pineapple). RNAcentral's name for it is "long non-coding RNA (ACOM_LNC015085)". The record is from RNAcentral. Lineage: Eukaryota; Viridiplantae; Streptophyta; Magnoliopsida; Poales; Bromeliaceae.
AGGCUGUAAGCAAAAUGAAGCGGUUAAUGCAGGCGAUUUUUGACAAGUUAGGAUGUUGCCGAGCAGAUUUACCUCCGGGGGAUGAUUCAGAUUAGAUGUUACGGGGUUCCUCUUUUUGUCAUUUUGGCGCUUUCUGACAAAAAGGGGGAGAUGAUAUGAUGGUUCAUGAUGAUAUAAUGGCUCAUGAUGAUGAUGAUGUCUGAUGAGGAUGCUGUUUUUUGAUUAGUUGUGUAAAUUUAGGCUAGAUGUUUGUUUAGGUGCUUGACUAUGAACUAUGACUUGUUGCUUUGAUUGCUUUGACGUUUGAUCUUUUAUGAUGAGUUUGCUUGAAUCUUGAUUGUGUUUUUAAGAAUGUUUUUGCAGGAAUAUUCAAGAUUUCAAGACUCCGGGUCUAAGUCAUAGAGUCUGUAUUAAGGUUGUAAAAAAUGUAAUUUUCUUUUAUUGGAUCAAUCAUGCAGGAGAUUGUCGUUUGGUGAUUGCGAUGAUCUUCUUUUUAUUGUUUCUGAGUUGUGUAUGAGCUUUGUAGUAUAUUUUGUCACGAAAUCGCCAAAGGGGGAGAUUGUUAAGGAUUUUAUAGGUUGGCGAAUUUAGUAAAGUUGAAUGGAGUCUUGAAGAGUUGAUUGCGGAAGUUUGAAGAAAAGAUCCAAAUUGAAGAACAAAGACUCAUUCGGAAAGCUCGGCAUCUCAGGUAUGAAGAAUAGAUGAUUUCGUAGAGUUGAAUGGAGUCUUGAAGAGUUGAUCGCAGAAGUUUUGAAGAAAAGAUCCAAAUUGAAGAACAAAGACUCAUUCGGAAAGCUCGGCAUCUCAGGUAUGAAGAAUAGAUGAUUUAUGGUGAAGAUGUUUAAUUGUAAUAAGUUCAGAAGGCUUAGAUUGCUUUAAAAAUUCUUUUACUGAACUUUUAUGUGUUCUGGGACCGGUCCCUGUGUUGAAGAGACCGGUUCCCCUAAGGUCCUCACUGCGUGAACAUUGAUGCAACCGAUCCCCUGAGAUGAGAGACCGGUUCCCGAACCUUGGUAUUUCUGUCACGCAGCGAGAGACCGGUCUCUGGCUUGAGAGACCGGUUCCCGAACGUUGUGUUUUUUGAUCACGCAGUGAGGGACCGGUUCCUCACAUGAGAGACCGGCCUCUCACAGACCGGUCUCCUCGAGAGGACCGGUCCCUGAGGACGACACAUGUUUUUAAAAAGCACUUUUUGCAAUCCUAGUCUACUUCUAAGUUUUCUAAAUAUAUAAAUAAGCCAUGGGGGUCAUCUUAAAGUUUAAGGCUUUGAAUUUUUACUGAUUCUAAACCCUAGAAACUUGUUUUUUCGUUCUAAUGCUUCUAUUCACAUAACAAGUUUCGUAAAAUCAACAAUCGACUUCGUUCUUCGAUUUUACUCGAGAUCUUAUUCGAGAAUCAAGUUGAUGUUUGAUUAGAAGACGGACCCUCAUAGCUUAUGGGAUUCUAAAGCUUAAUCACCACAAAUCUUCGAUUCUACAAGCUCCGGAAGCAGAUUUGGCGCCUGGAGCUCGCGUGUAGCCGAGUAUUCGGUGGACGCUUCAAGGAGCUGAGGCGUUGACGCUGCGAGGAGUUGCGGCAAGAUCGAUUGGAGGAUUCCUAUCGAUCGAUUGGAGGAUUCCUAUUGAGUCGUGUAUUUUUGUCAAAAUCACUUGUACUCAAGUUUUCUUAGUGGAUUUUCUUCGCGUGAUCGGUCCCGUGGGUUUUUUACUCCGAUUUGGAGUUUUCCCACGUUAAAUUCUCGGUGUGCUAUUUUCUUUUCCGCUGUUUCGUUUUAUUUGCAUCGAGAUUUUUCAGUUUGCCAUUUUUACACCUAUUCACCCCCCUCUAGGUGUUACUUACCUUUUAGAUCCUCGGGAUCCAUAUCUUACUGGUUAUCCUUGAGAUUAAAAAAUAAAGAGCAAAGAACAAAGAACAAAGACAAAGAAUAAAGAGCAAAGAACAAAGAACUUGCAUAAUCUGCAUAUGUUAAUGUUAAGCAUAUUUCCUGCUUAUUGUUCAGGCAUAUUAGCAUCAUAUUAUAGAUUGGUUACUAUAUGCAGCUUUUUCUUUCUAUUAUGCCUGAGUUAGUCCUAGUGGGAAAGUCGGUGAGAUUAAGGCCGAACCCACUGGGAACUUUGUUGUAGUUCUCACCCCACUAUUUUCACAGAGCCGGGAUCGAGCGAGCCGGCAAGUGACUGAGGUAAAGGUAUCGCGCCUUAGACAGAGGCCACCAGAGUUGAGUUGGGUUUACAUUUUGUUAGUAGAGUACCCUAUGUACAUCUUUUGUAUUUGAUGACUAGUGAUGUAAAGAAAAGAAUGUAAAGCUUAUUUUGAGGAAAAUGUGAUGUAAAAAGAAAUGAUGUCAUGAUGUAAUGAAAUGUAAGGAAGUUGAAAAUGUACAAGUUGGACUUAAUGUAUAUGAUCUAAAUUGAAUCAUAGUACAAGUGAAUGUUUAGUUUCCUAUCUCUCACUCAUGGCUAUUGCUUACCCUCGCAUAAGCCGUAUUUGUAUGUUUCCGCUAGUGCAUUUCUUGUUUGAAUUUGUACAGGUGAUGAGCCUUGGGCGUACAGGGAAAACUCUGUCCGUUCGGCAUCUGUUUGACGUGCUCGGGCUGGCCCAAAUUGGUAUCGGUCCCGGGGCGUGACAGAUAUCGUGGUAUCAGAGCCAAGAGUGAAAGAAUAGGAGUGGACCUAGAGACCCUUAGGAUUGGAAGACCUUAAGGAUCUAGGAAACGUAAGCGACAAAGUUAGCGCAAGCAUGUGAUUGGGUUAAGUUGGGACGUCUCUAAUGUGAUUAGAGGCUAAGUUUAAUUUCCGUUGAUCCUACACUUCUAGUGUUGUGUCGGGCGACCGACAACAUGACGCUGGAGGCAAGGAUGAAUGUGCAUGUUGCUUUCGCCGGAUUGGGUAUGGUCAAAUAAUGUGGUCAUGUAGCUAAUACAAGUUGCUUCUUUUCAGGAAGCAAUGGCACCUCGUGGACGACCUCAGACCAGGUCGAUGCCGGAGGAGCCAAGUGCGGAGCCCGAGCGAUCCGGAGCGAGUGGCGACGGAGAGCUUAGGGAGCAGAUGGCCGUGCUUAUCGGCGUAGUGCGGCAACAGGCGGAGUCUGUCCAACGCCAAGGAGAGCAGAUUCAGUGGCUCCAGGAGGCCUUGGAGCGUCAGCAGGCGGCGGCGGCCCAGGCAGGUGUCGAACAUGUCGCGCCCCCUGUGGUAGUGCCGAGCGUGGACGAGGGAGCGGCGGCAGCAACGGCUGUUCCAGUUACGAUGAUAUCGGCCUGAUCGGGAACCUCAAAUCCCGAUAGUGCGGCGGUAGAAGCGAAGCGAGAGCGCACCUUGGCGGCUCUCAUUCAGUUUAAAAAGUUCGACCCACCUAUCUUCGAGGGAGGUUUGGUGGAGCCAGCGGUAGUGGAGUCGUGGAUCGACUCGAUGGAGACACUCUUCGAGGAUCUCAACACCUUGGAGAAGGACAAAGUAUACCUUGCCACCCAUUGUCUUGAGAAGGCGGCGAUGGUGUGGUGGAAGCGAGUGAAGCGGGAUUGUCCUACCGACCUUUCGCUUAUGCUAUGGGAAGAGUUCAAGAGAGCAGUCUUCGCGAACUACUUCCCCGACACGACGAAGCGGAAAUUGCAAGAAAAGUUUCGCAAGUUGAGACAAGGUGAUCGAUCGGUGGGGGAGUACGAGCAAGAAUUCUCCCACAUUAUUGACUGCAUUCCCGAUGUUGUUAGAGAUGAUCGGGACCGGGCCGAUUGGUUCUUACGAGGACUCCAGCCCCAGAUUUAUGAGAAGGUGCAAAUCUUAAAGUUGUCGACCUUUGCGGAGGUCUUCGAUAGAGCAUUGUGGGCGGAGCACGGUAGCGCCCACGUACGUGAAGAAAGGGAGGUUAUGGCCAAGUUAAGGGACAAAGGCAAGAAGCGAACGGCGGGCGGUGCCGGGGGCCGGCCAAAUGUUAAGAAACCCCAUCGGUAUCCCCGACAGCAGUCGAGGAACUGGAGACCACCUCGAUGCGUCAUAUGUGGUGGAGAGCACAAGGUGUCGACUUGCCCGCAGCGAGACGGCAAAUGUUUCAAGUGUGGCCAACCGGGACAUCUUAUCCGGGAGUGCCCGAGCUGGACGUCGUCUGCGCCGACGGCGGCAUCAGUACCGUCUACCCCGAGACAGCUUGCGGGGUUACCACCAGCGAUGUCGGCUGGGCGCGUGUCAUCACCGCGUCAGCCGGAGGGAUCGAGAGCUCCUGGCGGCCGAGUUUUUGCCGCUCAGGUGGAGGAGGAGCAGCAGCCUGCAGCACCCGACGACGUCGUGGCAGGUAUAAUUAUGAUUAAUGGCACUAGAGCUAGAACAUUGUUCGAUACUGGUGCAUCACGUUCAUUUGUAGGCUCAAAGUUUGCAAAGGCACAUGGCAUAGAGAUGACACAUAACGAGGAUUACUGGUCGGUAAACGGUCGCGAGCACUCGUUUCGUGUUUAUGAUGAGUGCUUGGAGGUUCCGGUGCAGGUUGGCGACUGGAUCAUGCCGAUAGACCUACUGGUGCUAGACCGGAUGUGGGGCUUCGAUGUUAUUUUGGGGACCAAUUGGCUCUCCAAAUACUAUGCGGUCAUAGAUUGUGAAAGUAAGGUUAUCACUUUUCGUGAGCCUAACCAAGAAGAAUUUGUGUACCGGGCGUGCAAAGGUGCGCGUUUCGCGGCCACUAUAUCGUCAGUGAGGGCCAAGAGAAUGAUUAAGGGAGGAUGUAAAGCCUCUUUGGCAACCAUGGUUGAUGGCCGUGGGAAGCACCCAAAUCUUGAAAGUAUCCGGAUUGCGUGCGAGUUUCCGGAUGUAUUUCCGGCGGGGUUACCGAGAUUGCCACCGGACCGGGAAGUUGAGUUCGUUAUCGACUUAAUUUUCGGGGCGGAACCAGUUUCCAAGGCUCCAUAUAGAAUGGCCCCGGUGGAGCUAAAGGAGUUGAAAGGCCAAUUGAAAGACUUGCUCGAUAAAGGCUUUGUGAGGCCGAGCGUGUCACCGUAGGGAGCUCCGGUGCUAUUUAUAAAGAAAAAGGAUGGUACACUUCGACUUUGUGUGGAUUAUCGCGAGUUGAACAAAGUGACUGUAACACACUGGACUUUCGCAAAUAGCAAGGUUCGAGUGUUUGAUUUGUGUUUUGAGUUUAUUCCAGACUUUCUGGAGGGUCGUAGAUAGUGUUCCGACAUAUGGCUCAUAUCCCGAGAAUUGUAGUAUUUUUAUGUAGCGCUAAGGCCACUAAAGAGUUGGACUUAGCCUACCCUCGGAUUGCAUUCUGCACAUGGUGAAACCGGUGACAUGUCGAUGGUUGUACCGGUACACAUUUUGUACCGGUACACUUUUGAUGGCUGUACCGGUACACUUGUGCCGAAUUUCAAACCCGAGCCUCGGGUUUGCAUUUUCGUGGGAUUUGUACCGGUACACUUUCCCGUGUACCGGUACACUUUGGCAGUUUUCGAACAGUUCGAACUGCAGGGGUGUUUUUGCAUUGUUGCACCUCUAUAUGAUACCCCACGCCUCCCCUUUGGUUUCCUGAGCCCAGAACUCAGAGGAAACAGGUGAGAGAGCUCCUCCUUGCCUCAUUUUGGAUUUCAUCUUCCUUUUUUUUGGUUUUUAGGUGGUUUUUGCUCUCUUUUGCCUUUUAGAGCAUUUCCCACCAUUAUUGGAGGCUUGGAUCUUGGAGAGGAGCUCAUUGGAGAGGAGAACUUCAACCCUAGUUGGUUUGGGGCCUUGUUGGGAGCUUCUUAAGAGGUUAGAUGCUUGUUCUCUCCUCUUGAUUUGUAUUUUGAUGGUGGAUUUGAGUUGAAACCCUAGAAUGUGAGUUUAGGGUUGAUUUUGGGCAUUUUGAUUCUUGGGCCUUUUGAGCUAAAUUGAUUGGAUUAGAACCUUUACCUAGGUUGCAUUGGAAGGGAUCUAGCUUCCAUUUGGAGCUUGUGAGGGAUUUUCACCACCAUAGGUGAGUUUUGGCCCUUUCUUUGAGUUGGUUAAUGUUUAACCUAUUCAUUGUUCGUAAUUCUUGUGUAUCCCUUCGCUCAUUACUUUUAGGGUAUUUUGAGACUCGUGGAUAACUCCGUUCGGCAAAACGAGGGACUACACGACGGUUCGGUGGGUUUGGCCUAGCCACACAACGAGAAAAUCUCAUUGUUGAUGGUUUAAGUGUUGUAAAUUAAAAAGCAUGCAUAUUUGUGUUAGAUGCAUUAUUUGUGAAUUUUAGAAUGCUUAAAAUGCACAUGUUAUAUACAAUACAUAUUUGACCUCUAUAUAGUAGAGAGUUUUCAUGUUGGGCUAGGGGCCUACGGUUAGCAUUCUUACAAUUGAUUGAGAUCAUGUUGCAUAUGGUACAUAUGGCAUAUAGAUUACACUCUUGGACAUAUCGACAUUAAGUGACAUAGGCUAGAGUGUAUACAAAUAGUAAGCUAAUGUCAUAAAGCGGCAUUAGGCUUGGACUAGAUAUGGAUUUAGCAAGCUAAUGUCAUAAAGCGGCAUUAGACUUGAUGGAUAUGUAAAUUGCAUUUGCAUGUUAUUAUUAUGAGAAAUUAUGCCAAGUGGAUAGUUGCAUUGGAAAGAACAUACAUGUGGCAAUAUGAGAACACACUAGAGAGCAUGUGUAUUAAUCUAAUUAUGAAGAACAAGCUGCGUCAUAAAAGAGGCAUAGAAUGUGAAUUGAGCUUAGAUUAUAGCAAUGUUUAAGUGUCAUAAAGAGGUACUAAACAUAGUGAAUGUGGAAACUUCACUUGAGCUUUGGACUUUGUAAAGCUAAGGUCAUUGACAUAGAAUUUUAUUGAACGGUUAAACCUUCACAUUGAAGGCAUUGAACUAGAUCUUCGAAGAUGCUAGUGACUUUUACCAUGUUAGAGACAUGAUGAUUGUGGGGUGGCUAUUACCAUGUUGGAGACAUGACGAUUGGACUAUUGAGGUAUUGACCAUGCUUGCUUGCCAUUUGUGCUCAUUCGCACAUGCUUGUACGGGUCGCUCCCUACAAGCCGGCACUUCGGAGUUAGCCUAGCGACUUAUGUUCGCUCGUGCGGUAUCGAGUAGCCUACGGGGCAUGGAGGGAUAGACUCAUUCCUAGAGUCGGAAUGCUGAAGCUACCACUGGCACUUAGGCGGCACAAGCCGGACUACACGUGUGUAGAUCCUGAUUGAGAUUGAACCAGAAUAUUAAGCAACAAGUUGACAUUCGCUACUAGCUAGGUUAUAGUAGUUGGACUCUUGAUAUGCUAUGGCAUAGUGUUGGACAUUUGGGCUUAGAGUAUACUUGACAGUAUCGCUUAUUACAUUGUAGUAUUCUUGGUUGCUAUGAUAGUACAUACUAGAUAUGUCGUGGACUUUGGGACAUAUAGCAUACUUCAUAGCAUUACUUGUUGCAUCAGAACAUAUUGUUUAAGUUUUGACAUAUUGGAUCAUGUAGAGUAGGUGUACUCCAUGUUGACAUUCAGAAUAUUUGUGGCAUAGUAGUAUAACAUUUCAAUAUAUGCCUUUAUUUUCCGCAAUCGUUAUUUCGUUAUCUAUAUCUGCUUAUUUUUGGGCCUAGUGGUGCAAUUUGGUGCAGGUCAGUAAUUGCCCACUGGGAACUAUAAUUUAUAGUUCUCACGCCCCCUGUUUUAUGUUUUUUUUCAGAGCCUUCCACUCUGGGAGAGGCUCGGGAUCGCGGGGAAGGUUUCGCCUUGAGUUAGCUAUCGAGGGACUUGGUGAUAGGUGGCCCACCUCUCUUUUGUUUUCUUUUGGAGAGGUUGUGAGAGUUUUGUACCUGGCUGUAGAGACCACCCUAUUUUUGUAUCUUGAGAUUUAUGAAGUAUCAGUUUACUUUAUGCUUUAGUAGUAUGAUUUUCUUUUGAUUCUACCUGAUGUUAGAACCUAGCUAUAUACUUGCUCUGAUAUCUCUAGCUGCGGAUCUUCUCAUGCUUUACUCUUCCGCUUUUGUGUAGACGCCUUAUAUGUGUAGAUAUAUGGCGGGUCUGGGCGCGCACCGGGCGGGCCUAUGCAGGGUCCCGGGGCGUGACAGUGACGAUAAAGAACAAGUACCCGUUGCCGAGGAUUGACGAUUUAUUCGAUCAGUUGCAAGGGUUCAAGGUGUAUUCGAAGAUUAAUCUCCAGUCGGGGUAUCAACUAAAGAUAAGGCCGAAGGAUGUGCACAAAACGGCGUACCGUACGCGGUAUGGCCAUUAUGAGUUCACGGUAAUGCCGUUCGGGCUUACUAACGCCCCGGCAGCAUUUAUGGACUUGAUGAACCGAGUCUUCAGGCCAUUGUUGGAUCGAUGCGUCGUAGUGUUUAUAGACGACGUGUUGUUUUACUCGAAGAGUGAAGAAGAGCAUAAAGAACAUCUGAGAGCUGUGUUGCAAAUACUCAGGCAAGAGAAGCUCUAUGCAAAGUUAAGGAAAUGUGAGUUUUGGUUAAAGGAAGUCACAUUUUUGGGCCACGUGAUAUCGGGCGACGGAGUUUUAGUAGACCCGAAGAAAGUAGAGGCGAUUAAGGAUUGGCCUCGCCCGACGAAUGUAGCGGAGGUCCGCAAUUUUCUUGGACUCGCGGGCUACGACCGGCGGUUCAUGGAGGGGUUCGCCAAAAUAACCACUUCGCUAACGCGCCUUACACAUAAAGGAGUAAAAUAUGUUUGGAGCGACGAUUGCGAUCGGAGCUUCGAGGAGUUAAAGAGCAGGUUAACGUCGACCCCGGUUCUUGCCUUGCCGACUCCGGGGGAGACAUUUGUAGUGUAUAGUGAUGCCUCGUAUGUUGGUCUCGGGUGUGUAUUAAUGCAAAAUAGGCGAGUCAUCGCAUAUGCAUCGCGCCAGUUAAAUAUGAGAAGAACUACCCGAUUCACGACCUUGAGUUAGCCGCGGUGAUUUUCGCGCUAAAGCUUUGGAGGCAUUACUUAUAUGGUGAGCAUUGUGAGGUUUACACCGAUCGCAAAAGUUUAAAGUACUUGUUCACCCAGAAAGAGUUGAAUAUGCGACAGCGGCGGUGGUUGGAGUUAUUAAAGGACUAUGAUGUCACUAUACUAUACCACCCCGGGAAAGCCAAUGUCGUGGCCGAUGCUCUAAGUAGAAAAUCGGCGGAUAAUCUAGCGACGGCGAUUACGCCUCAGCCGCUAUUACACAAGGAAAUGCAACGUCUUGGGUUGGAAGUGGUAGCGUUGGGAGUGCCGGCUACACUUGCCGCAUUAGUUGCGCAACCGACCCUAUUUGAGAGAAUCAAAGAGUUACAAGCUUCGGAUCCUUAUCUUCAAAAGGUUCGAGGUGAUGUUGAGAAUGGGAGUGCCGAAGAUUUUGGCAUUGGAGCUAACGGCGCACUUCGAUUUUGAAAUCGUUGGUGUGUGCGCAAAGAUGAUGAGUUACGAAAGGCGAUCAUGCAAGAAGCGCACCAAUCCCCUUAUAGUGUACACCCCGGCAGCACUAAGAUGUACAAGGAUUUGAAAGAGCACUAUUGGUGGCCGGGUAUGAAAAGGGAUAUUGGGGAGUUUGUGGCGUAAUGUCUUACGUGCCAACAGGUUAAAGCGGAGCGCCGAUUUUCGGCGGGAAAGCUACAAAGUCUAUCUAUACCCGUUUGGAAAUGGGAAGAUAUAGCAAUGGACUUUAUUACCGGUUGGCCUCGAUCACAGGGCGGACACGACGCGAUAUGGGUGAUAGUGGAUCGAUUGACAAAAUCGACACACUUUUUGUCGAUACAUACUACGUGGUCGGGAGACAAGCUAGCGCAAGUUUAUCUCGACGAGGUUGUGAGACUUCAUGGGAUUCCAGUGUCGAUCGUGUCAGAUCGUGACCCAAGGUUCACGUCUCACUUCUGGAAGAGCUUACAAGAUGCGUUGGGCACACGGCUCGACUUCAGUAUAGCGUUCCAUCUCAGACUGACGGAUAGUCGGAGCGAACAAUACAGAUCUUCGAGAACUUACUUUGAGCGUGUGUGCUAGAUUACAAAGGAGGUUGGCAUGAUUUCUUGCCGAUGGCGGAGUUCGCGUAUAAUAACAGUUAUCAAGAAAGUAUCGCGAUGGCUCCGUUUGAAGCCUUGUAUGGACGGAAAUAUCGUUCUCCUAUCCAUUGGAGCGACGUGGGCGAGAGAGCGGCCCUUGGCCCGGAUGUGGUACGGGAGGCGGAGGAGAAAGUUCGCCUUGCUCGUCAACGAUUAGCGGCGGCGCAAUCUCGGCAAAAGAGUUAUGCCGAUAAGUGAAGAAAGGAUCAAGAGUUCGCGGUUGGAGACCGCGUGUUCUUAAGAGUGUCGCCAAUGCGCGGAGUAAAACGUUUUGGGGUCCGUGGGAAGCUAAGUCCCCGAUAUGUCGGACCGUUCGAGAUUUUGGAGCGCGUGGGUGCGGUGGCCUACAAGCUCGCACUACCACCGAGACUCGCGGGAGUUCACAAUGUAUUCCAUGUGUCAAACCUUCGAAAGUAUAUUCGCAACUCGACACAUGUGUUAGACUAUGUGUCACGCCUCGACACCCGCCUAUUUGGUCGGAUUCGGGCACAUCGACAGACCGCCGAACGGACAGAGUUUUCCCUGUACGUCCUAGGCGUCGCAAUCAAUACAAUUCACGAUGUUCCAACCAGGAACAGAAAUCAACAUACAGAUUGCAUAUGGAAAGGUAUCAACAACAUAAACACAUCCUAUGUUAUUACAAGCAUUCACCUUGAUACAUUUGCUUACAUCACAAUUACACUUUCUCUCCAACAUACAAUCUGAGUUAUUACAAUUUAUUACAUAUUUGAUACAUCUUGUUCUUUCAUUUUUCUCUCUACCCCUAGGCUAUGCCGACACGGGGUACCACUAUCUCUGGUCUCUGGGUAGGGCGCUAUCUACGGAGCUACGCCCUUGCCUCGCGCCGCCGCGCCGCUCACGUGCAAACCUGUAAAACCCCAAAACAACGUGGGGUGAGAACCAACUCCAUGGUUCCCAGUAGGUACGGCCACCCAAGGGAAAAGCUCGACCACUAGGUCCAAGGAGGCACUGCAACAAGUUAGUCCAAUAACAUAUAAUAGAUAUAUAUAUUCGAUAUUGAACUAAAUGUCAUGCCUCGCAAAAUGCAAUAUGCAAUACCUGUAACUUUAUGCAAGUAGAUUAAUUGAUUCUACUUCAUAUUAUUAACCAUUCUUUACUUGUAGCCGUUCUUUACUUUAUUAAUUAUUCUUUAUCAUUAGCUUUUCUCUAGUCUUUACUUGGUCACAUAACGCUCAUUGGCGAUUCUUUCCUAAGGUUGCUCAUACCUUAGCCAUCUAUACCACUCGACUCGGUCUUGAGUCAAUCCUCUGCGGAUAGUCCGCACACUGGCUGCUCAACAGCCCAUCGCACUCGAUGACUCAGCCACCCGGCGGCGAAAUCGUCGCACACGCUCAGCUCUGGCUUAAGUCACCCUGCGGCAUGAUCCACAAACUGGCUCAACCAUCCGGCGGUGAAAUCGUCGCACACGCCACGACAAUGGUUCUUUAGCCCCGGGCGGCGAAAUCGUCGCACAUACCCCGCACCACUCUUGGUGUUCCACAAGUCCUGGGAUUCCGGAACCCAUUUCACAGUACUCAAGGGUUGGUCUUAACCCUAUGAAAUUGACCUAUCUAGGUCCAAGCCUUUACUCAACCUAAGUUAAUACUUUAGGUUCAUUGCUUUCAUACUCUUAGCCUAGGUUUAUUAACACUAGGUCCAUUAUUCUCAUCUACCUAGAUUCACUUGACUCUAGGUUCUUACCUUUAUCUCACAACCUAGGUUACUUUGACUCUAGGUUCAUGCCACUUAUUAAUUCAACCUAUGUUCUUUGACACUAGGUUAGAUGCCACUCGAUCUAUAGGUGCGUUUAUGUCCACCUACACAUACCCUUUACUUUAGUAUUCUUACCUCAUCAUUAUGCAUUAUCAUUAGCAUAGUUUCUACUUUAGACUAACAUGCAAUGCUACUUUAUAUCAUUUACUUAGCAUUAACCAAAUACUUACAUUUAGCAUUUCUACACCAUACUUAUCAUGUAUAGACUUAGCAUUCCUUACAUUAACGUUUCUAUGGCAUGCAUUAUGUAUUCAUUUAGCAACUAUAUGCAUCAACAUAAUUUCACAAUUCUCUUAGACAUAACGGCGACCUAGUCGCUUCGGUAAACACAACCCACCUUAACUCGCGUUCCGAUUGCUUGUCGACACUUGCAAUCGGCCUCCCGCGGCACCCGUAUCCGGCACGGCCCAAUAUUGCAACUGCGCCACAACCGUGCUCCGCUUCGCAGCCCCGAAAAUUAUAGGUCUUCGGUUAUGUGCCACAGUGCCCCAAAUCCAUUUCCACGAUUUUACGAUGUCGCCUCGGCCCUCGAGGCGGAAACGAAGCUAAAUCAUCAGUUUCUUUAAUAUCUUUGUAACGGCUCGACGGAUUGCCAAACCGACUUCGCCAACGUGUUUCGUUACCUACCAAUUAGGUUUACGAAGGGUCAAAUGAGAUCAAACUCAUCUAUUUACAAAAAUCCUACUUUGGAUGCCCUAGAUGCUACUAUUGCAAAAACCACCAAAUCGAUCUUCGAUUCAUGCAAUAAACACUUAAUUAGCAUCUAGGAAUGCUACUAAAUCCAUUUCUAGAGCAUUAGGAUCAAACUCUAGAGAUCUACCAUUGUAGUGUGUGGAGCUUACCUCCAAAAGCUCUCCAAAAGCAAUAGAAGAAGAAGAAGACGAUGAUGGUGAUUCUUCCAAGCCUCUUCUCUUUCAAUCCUUCCUCUUCUUCUUCUUCUUCUUCUUCUCCUUCUUUUCUUUCUAGAGAGAGAGAGGGACACGGUUUGGGGGCUAAACGGGUGAGGGAGAAGAGAGAAAUAAGCCACAACCCACUUCUAUACCCACUGCACAUUUGCACAAAGGACCCUCAACAAUAUUAGUUGUGCACAGCCCAAACUGGGCCAUUUUCGGGUGCUGGGACCGGUCCCAUGCAGUGAGAGACCGGUCCCCGAAAGUCUAGAAUAGCAGCAUUCCAGACUUAGCCAAAUUUUCAGCUUUUUCAGCUUUCGGGGUCCGUUUUCACUCCGUUUUCACUCGUUUGACCUCUGAUUCGUUUCAAAUCGAACCAAGACUCUCCAAACAUGUUUUCAAACAUGUUUUCAUCAUCUUUUCAUCCACGCUAAUGUCGGAUUUAGCUCACGGCCCAACAUAGCCUUUCGGGUUCCGUUUUCGCGCCUACGCGCACCGAAACGCCCGGAAGCUUCCGAACUUCACUGAACUUCACCGGGACGAUUCAAAUGGCUCUCCAACCAAAUGUACACCGUAACUUCAUGAUUUUAGAAGUUCGGUAUGUUACAGUAUGAGCCCGUGGAGCUACGUGAAGAUAUGUCUUAUGAGGAGUACCUAGUGUGCAUCCUUGAUAGAGAAGUGAAAAAGUUGCGAAGUCGCAAGAUUCCAUACGUGAAAGUCUAAUGGAGCAACCAUGCUGUGCGAGAAGCCACUUGGAAGCUCGAGGAGACCAUGCGGAGAGAGUAUCCGCAUUUAUUUGAGUUAACGAGUUAAGGUAAACGUAAUUUUGCGGACGAAAUUAUUUUAAGGGGAGGAGAAUAUAAUAUACCAAAAAUUCGGAAAAUAAAUGUCGAACUUUAGUCAAAUUGACCAAAGUGCGAGGAUGGUGCACUUCGAAAAGUCCGAAGGUGUUAAGAUGAGUAAAAGUGCGUUGUGUAAGGUUUUCGAGAGCUAAGGAAUCAAAAAUCUGCAAACUACAGUUUUUGAGCUCUCGGGGACCGGUCCCUGGAUGGAGAGAUCGGUCCCCGAACGCGUGAGAAAUGAGAUAGUCAAAAAUUUGCUAAGUCCCAGAAGAGUAGCUCUCGGGAACCGGUCCCUGCCUGAGAGACCGGUCCCCGAGAGAUCGAUCCCCCAGAGAGAGACCGGUUGCAUUGCGCGCGGCAGCUCUGGCUGCGCUGGGACGAGCUUCGGGAACCGAUCCCUGAUGGAGAGACCGGUCCCCGCCUGCGCGAACAGCCCAGUCCAGGCUGUGUGAAAGAGUAAAAGUUGAGGGGUUUAAUUGCAUUUUUGCAACCCAUUGAGCUAUGUAUGGGGACAAAUGAGAUAUUUCUCUCAUUUUCACCCUCUCAUCCCCUUUCAUCUCUCUCUCUCUCUAGAAGACAAGAAGGAGAAGAAGAAGAGAAGGAAAAAGAAGGAAAAGAAGAGGAAGAAAGUGAAGAAGAAGGCAAGGAGAAGAAGAAAACCUCUCCUCUCCUUCUCUAGCUUGGAAAAGGAGCAAGCUUAGAGGUAGGCCUUGCCCCCUUUCAUGAUAAAUCCUAAACUAGGGUUUGGGUAAGCUAGGAAUUGGUUUUUAUAGAACCUUUAGAGUAUGUGAAGCUUUCAUUUUGCUUCUUUUGAGAUCAAAACCAUGGAAUGGUGGUAGUGGUGAAGCUUGAAUGAAAGCUUCCACCUCCUCUCAUGGUGAAACCCUAAAAUGGGUUUUAGUAAAGCUAAGAAAGGUUUAGAUGGACUCUUUAGAGUAUAAUGAAGCUACUUUUGCUUCCCAUUGAGAUCAAACCCUAGGUUUGAUAUAUGCAAUGGAGCUAGGGCACCCAAAUUGGGGCUUUUGCUUGCGAGAGUUCGAAAGCACAAUUGACCCUCUAGAAACCUAAUUGGGGGUAUUUCCGACGCGUUGGUGCGCUCGGAUUAACGUUACCAAAUGCCAAUGUAAAGAUAUGGGCAAAAUGGCCUAAGUUGGCUUCGUUUUGCCGCAGGUGAAAAACGAGGAGUCUAGAAAUCUCAAGAAAACCGUCGGAGCACCUAAGUAAGCCUACGAGGUAGGUGGUGCUUUUCAAACUCGUUGAACUUUCCUCUAUGCCUAAUGUAAGGUACCGGACUUCUAAAACUAUGAAGUUACGGUGUACAUUUAAAUGGCUCCGGUGAGGUUGCGGCGGAAUGUAACAUACCGGAUUUUAAAUAUAAAAGUGAAAAUAAAUAAAAAUAGUAUGAGAUACUAUUUUUAUUGGAUUUAGAGAAGUGAAAUAUAAGUUGGGAAUGACCUGUGCUGAAAUCGGAACGACAACAGAAGAUUUAGAAUUUUCUGUAAGAAACGGGGCAGAUAAAUUAGCAGAAAAUGCACAGUGUCAGAAAAUUAUGAAAAUUAUCGGAGAUGUCAGAAAUAUUUUUAUGAUGCUAGAUUUAAAGUUCCAUGCCAUUCUGACACCCGGAAGGUGAAAAGUAGAAUCCGAAAGCUACUGAUAAAGAUUACAGUUCGGUACAGUUUUCGGUGACCAAACGGGGUUGAAACUGAAAUAUUAAAAUUUCUUUGGACUCGUUAAGUGAGACCGAACAUGACUGUCAAAUUUGAGCUCAAACGGAUAUUCAGGGAGUUCCGGCGAAAGAUAUCAGAUUUCGAACUGCCUGGAGUGAAUAGUGUUUUGGGGGAGUUUACUUGGAGGUUAAGUUUCCUCUUAUACAUAUAUAAGGGUGUUAUGUCAUUUCCCUCAUUCCUCUCUAUUUGAGCCAACAUAAGAGAAAUCUCUCUCUCUCUACCAAAGAAAGAAUUGGAGAAGAAAAUUGAGGCAAGCUUGAAGAAAAUUGAAGUAGCUUGGAGUUGAAGCUUCAUCUUUAUCUUCUCUUUCCUUGGUCUAAGUGGAAGCUUGUGUUUGAGGUAAGCUUCAUGAACCUCUAAUGGUGGAUUGCUAGGAAAUAAUAUAUAUAUCCUAGAAAUAGAUUUAGAGGACUCCCUAGAUGCUAAGUAGAAGCUAUUUGCUUGAAUUAAAGGCUAAUAUGGCUAUUCUUGCAAUAGUAGCAUAUUAGAGCUCCAAAUUGGGGUUUUUGCUUGUGAGGGGUUUUGAUCUAAAUUGAUCAUGUAUAAACCUAAUUGCUAGGUAAACGAACGCGUUGGCGAAGUCGGUUCGGCGAUUCGUCGAGCCUACGCGAAGUUAUUAAAGAAACGGACGUUAGGUUUCGUUUCCGCCUGGAGGGCCGAGGCGACGUCGUAAAAUCAUGGAAAUGGAUUUGAGGCAUCGUGGCGCAUAACCGAAGACCUAUAAUUUUCGGGGCUGCGAAGCGGAGCACGGUUGAGGCGCAGUUGCAGUAUCGGGCCGUGCCGGAUACGGGUGCCGCGGGAGGCCGAUUGCAAGUGUCGACAAGCAAUCGGAACGCGAAUUAAGGUGGGUUGUGCUUACCGAAGCGACUAGGUCGCCCUUUAUGUCUAAGAAACUAAGAAUCCAUGUUGAUGCAUAUAAAUGUAAAUGAAGCAUGUAAAUUAUGCAUGUAGCUAAAUAAUGCAUGUUGAUAGUAUGAUGUAAAUGCUAAAUAGAAUUCAUUAUGAGCAAGUUGAAUAAUGGUAGAUAAUUAUGUGAAUGCCAAGUAGUGAGCAUGUAAAAGUAAAGUUGUAUGCAUGAUGAUUAUGACAUGUAGAUGCUAAGUAAACGCAUGAACGCAUGAGUAGCAUGAUGGUAAUAUACAAGAUAAAUGUUGCAUGAAAACUAGGUUGAUAACCUUAAAAUGAUUAAAGUAAAGGAUGCUAUGCUAAAGUAUAAGUGAUAAGCAUGAUAUAAGAAUAGUAAAUGCAAGUGCAUGUUAAGAAUGCUAAGUAAGGAACAUAUAUAGGUGGACAUGAAUAAACCUAUAGAUCGAGUGGCAUUAAACCUAGUGUCGAGGACAUAGGUUAAACAAAUGUGAUGUUGAACCUAAUGUAAAGAACAUAGGUUGUGAAAUGAAAGCUGCUUAACCUAGAGUCAAGUGAACCUAGGUUGGAAAAGAAUGAUGAUCCUAGUGUAAUAAACCUAGGUUAAGAAUGUGAAAGCAAUAAACCUAAAGUGAUAACUUAGGUUGUGUAAAGGACAAUGAACCUAGAGUCAAUUGGACCUAGGAGAUAAAAGCUUAGACCUAGAGAGGUCAGUUCCAUAGGGUUAAGACCAACCCUUGGUUAAUGUGAUAUGGAUUCCGGAAUCCCAAAGCUUGCUGAUGCACCCAAAGUGGUGUGGGGUGUGUGCGACGAUUUCGCCGCCCAGGGGCUAGAAAACCAUUGUCGUGGCGUGUGUGCGACGAUUUCGCCGCCGGAUGGUUAGCCAGUUUGUGAUCCUAGCCCGCCUGUUGACUGAAGCCAUGUCGUGGCGUUUGUACGCGACAUUUCGCGCCGGCGUGGUAAGUAUGACCUAGGCCGUUGUGGUGAGGUGCGAUUCUUCGCACGCCAACGGCUAGGACAGGAGUACCGGUGACUUUGCCAGCUGAGGUGCAUGUGAGAGUUCCUUCACCUCGGAGCUAGAUAGUAGCGCGGACUAUCCGCGAUUGAUGACUCGAAGCCGAGUCGGGUGGUUAGCUCAUGAUAGGUAGGAGGAACCCUUAUGAGCUAGAGAUAGAGGCUUGAGCUAAGGUAAUAGAAAACUUAGAAGCCAGUGGUUAGUGUUGUGAUCCUAGAGGUAAUAGAAACCUUAGAGUAAAGUUAUGAGCUAAAGUAGCCAAGUAAAAUUAGAUUCAAAUGAUCUACUAGUUGUUGCAUAUUUUCAUAUCGCAUAUCGUAGGCAUGGCAAUGUAUUUCAAUUGAAUAUAUAUAUCUUGUUGUAUUGGUUGAACUAACAUGUUGGCAGUGCCUCCUCGACCUAUCGGUCGAGCUUUCCCUUUGGUGCCGUACCCACGGAACCAUGGAGUUGGUUUCUCACCCACGUUGUUUUGGGUUUCAGUCUCUCGGCGUAGGCGGCGGCGGCGCGAGGCGAGGGCGUAGCUCAGUAGAUAGCGCCCCACCACAGAGACUGAGGUAGCAGUACCCUGAGACAGUCUAGCUUAGGGGUCUAGAAGAUAAGAAAAGGAAAAUGUAUCAAACUUGAUAACUCUGAUGUAAUAGCGAGAUUGUAAUUUGGAAGUAAAAAUGUAAACAGAAACUGUGAUGUAAAAAGUGGUUCUAAAAUGAAUGCUUGUAAUAGCAAGUAGAUUAUGUAUUUGAUACUUCCUUAUGCAAUCUGGAUUGAUAUCCGUUCCUUGUUGGAACAUUCGUUGAUUGUUUGGAUUGCGACGCCUUGGACGUACUGGGGAGACUCUGUCCGCGUACAAGGGAAUUCCCGGUCCGUUCGGCGGUCUGUCGGCGGCGCCGCGACCCGGUCCAAAUUGGCGGUUGGUCGCGGGGCGUGACACCUAAUGUGUCAUUCAAUUGAGCAUAUGUAUAUACAUUGUUGCAUGCAUUUUAGGAUAAAGUAAUGAUAAAAAAAAUGUGAUGUUGCAUGAUUGUGAGCACAACUUGCAUAAUGUGAUGGUUGAGAACCUUAUGCAUGUCAAAAACCCCAUAUAUGUAUGCAUGAGAGAAAGUGUGAGAUCGAAAGUAAGGCGCAAGAACCGAAUGACACAAUGAGACAUAGAUAGAGUGGCAUUUGAUAAUGUAAAGUAAAGUGACACUAGAGGUAGUGUGAAGCAGAGAAACAAUGUGAUGCAAAGAAUAAUAAUGAUGACUAAAGUGAGAACAAAGUGGGAUGUAAAGAACAUGAAUACUAGAGUUAGCGAAAGUAAAGAAAAGUAAAGAACAAUGAUUGCUAGAAUAGCAACAUAAAGUGAUGUAAAGAACACUAGAGUUAGUGUAAAGUCAAGAUUGAACAUACAAUCCUUUGAGUUAAGGAUUCGAUCAUACUUGCUAUGAGUUCCGUGCUUGAGGGCGGUCGCACCCCCUCGAGCGAUGCGCUCCGGAGUUUUAGCAUCACGGGUUGGAGUAAACCCGAGGACGGUCCUAGCGGGUGAGUUCCUGCGAUGAUGGACUUAAUAUAAAGCAAGUUUAAUGGGGCGAAACUCUCAGGUUAGCCUUGAGAUUAAAGAAUAAAGAGUAAAGAACAAAGAACAAAGACAAAGAAUAAAGAGCAAAGAACAAAGAACUUGCAUAAUCUGCAUAUGUUAAUAUUGAGCAUAUUUCCUGCUUAUUGUUCAGGUAUAUUAGCAUCAUAUUAUAGAUUGGUUACUAUAUGCAGCUUUUCCUUUCUAUUAUGCCUGAGUUAGUCCUAGUCGGAAAGUCCGUGAGAUUGAGGCCGAACCCACUGGGAACUUUGUUGUAGUUCUCACCCCACUAUUUCCACAGAGCCGGGAUCGAGCGAGCCGGCGAGUGACCGAGUUAAAGGUAUCGCGCCUUAGACAGAGGCCACCAGAGUUGAGUUGGAUUUACAUUUUGUUAGUAGAGUACCCUAUGUUCGUCUUUUGUAUUUGAUGACUACUGAUGUAAAGAAAAGAAUGUAAAGCUUAUUUUGAGGAAAAUAUGAUGUAAAAAGAAAUGAUGUCAUGAUGUCAUGAUGUAAUGAAAUGUAAGGAAGUUGAAAAUGUACAAGUUGGACUUAAUGUAUAUGAUCUAAAUUGAAUCAUAGUACAAGUGAAUGUUUAGUUUCCUAUCUCUCACUCAUGGCUAUUGCUUACCCUCGUAUAAGCCGUAUUUGUAUAUUUUCGCUAGUGCACUUCUUUCGAAAAUGUACAUGUGAUGAGCCUUGGGCGGACAGGAGAAACUCUGUCCGUUCGGUGUCUGUUUGACGUGCUCGGGUCAGCCCAAAUUUGUAUCGGUCCCGGGGCGUGACAUACAUAAUCUUGUUGGUUAGCCUAGGGCGGACAGGGGAAACUCUGUCCGUUCGGCGCCACGCCCGCCGCGCCCGAAUCGUGCCAAAUUGGUAGCAGUCUCGAGGCUAGAGGGCGGGGCGUGACAAGCUUACUAUCUCAUACCUCAUAUGCAUCUAAUGCCCCUUUUUGGCAUUAUGUCAUCUCUUAGGUCAACGUGAGUUCUAAAUUCAAUAGCAUAAUACAAUCGUCAUUUCCACUACUUGGAAUGUGAUCCCAAGCCACACAUAAGAAUGCUAUCCAAAAAUGCAUGAUUCCAACAAAAAUAAUUCUCUACUACAUAGAGGUCCAAAUUUGCAUUAUACAUGACAAGUGCAUUUUAAGUAUUCUAAAAUUCAUAAAUAUUUUAUCUAGUAUGAAUAUGCAUGAAGUUUCAUUUUACGACAAGUAUAACCAUAAAAUGAGAAUUUUAUCUUAUUUUGGUAAGGCCAAACCCACCAAGUCUCCUUGCAACCCUUUCGUUUCGCCGAACGAAGUUGCCCACUAUUCUUCUAGCAUCCUAAAGGUAAUAAAAGGAGAGUUACACGAACGUUGCGAACAACAUAUAGGUUAAACAUUAAACAUCUCAAGAAAAGGGGCAAUACUCACCUAUAGUGUAAAAAGCCCUUUUCAAAUCCCAAAUGAGAGUAAGAUCUCUCCAAAUCCAACCUAAACAAAAGUUCUAAACUAAUUAAUUGAGAUCCAAAAGCCUCAAAUCAAAAAUUCUCAUUCUAAAUCCUAAAUUCCCAUUUCUAGGGUUUCUACAUAAGAAAUCCACCAAAACAUGGAUUAAAAAGGGGAAAAACAAGUUCUAACUCUUUAAAAGCUUCAAACCACUCUAGAAAUCAGCUAGGGUUGAAGACCUUCCCUCAAACAAGCUCCAAACAUCAAGCCAAGGCUUCUCCUAUGGUGGAAAUAGCAUCAAGAUGCAAAAAUGAGCAAAAGUAGUGAUUAAACCACUAAAAUCCAAGCAAAAAUGGAAAGAAAUCCAAAGGGGGGAAGAGAGGAGCUCCCCUACCUUGCUCUACAAUGUUUCCAAGCUCAGAAAACUAGCAAGGGGCGUGGGAUGCUAUAUAGAGUAGCAACAAACGCAAAAACACCCCUCAACAAAAUGCAGUCUGCAAACUGCAUUGUGUACCGGUACAAAGAAAAGUGUACCGGAACAAAACCCUGUACACGCAAACCCGAGCCUCAGGUUGGCUGAGAAUAACCUUCUGUACCGGUACAACAUCAAUGUUGUACCGGUACAAUAGCUUGUUCCGGUACAACAUCAAUGUUGUACCGGUACAUAAUGCUGCAGAACUCAACUCGAGAGCAGCCUAAGUCCUUCUCUUGGAGACCUUAGGGCUAAGUUAAAAAACUUAUUUUUCGGGAUGCGAGCCAUAGAUCGGAACACUGUCUACGACCCCCCAGAAAAAGUGGAAAAGCUAAGAACACAGAUCAAACACUCGAACCUCGCAAUUUGCAAAGGUCUAGUGUCACGCCCCGGGACAAGCAGAGGCCCUCCCGGUAGCGCGCCCAGACUCGCCAUAUGUCUACACAUAUAAGGCGUUUACAACAACAGCGGAAAUAAAGCAAGAGAACAAAAGAAUCUAACGAUAUCAGGGCAAAAUAAAUAACUAAGUUCUACACAGAGGGGUAAGUAUAAAACUGAAAUCCACUAAUAAAGCCAUAAAGUAGUACAAAGAAAAUCCCAAAUACAAAAACUAAACAUAAAGAGUAUAUAGGUGGUCUCUCUAUACAUGGUUCUCAACAUCUCUCUCUCUCUCGAAUACAAAAAAGAAAAGAGUAAACCACCUAAGCUCACAAGUAGCUUCAAGCUAACUAGCAACGCGAUUCCCUUGUCGCGAUCCCGUGCCUCCGCCGGUGCCGAAGGCUCUGAAAUAACAUCAAGAAAAGAGGGCAUGAGAACUAUAAUUUAUAGUUCCCAGUGGGCAAUUACUGACCUCAGCUCAAUGCACCACUAGGCCCCAAAAGAAAAGGGUAAGUCCAAAAGCAACAAUAAUAAUAAAUGGAUUGCAUUUAUAGAAGCAUGAUUAAAUUGCUAAACUACUAUGUCGCAAAUAAAUAUGAUGUCAAAUGUGAUGUACAUCUACUUUAUCAAAAUGAAGCAUGUCCAAGCAUGACUAAUAUGUCCCAUCAUAACGAACAAGUAGGCUAUCAUGAUCCACUAUAUCAAAGUAUGAUGAGUAUGCUCUAUCAUGGCAGCAACGUAUACUAUGAUGCAACAAUUAAGACUAUCAUGUAUACUACAAGUCCCAACACUAUGCUAUAAACAUGUCAAGAUAAUCAAACUACUAAGCCUAUCUAGUAGUGAUAGUCAUUUCCCAGUUCAAUGUCAUUGUUUCCAACAUGUUCUAGGACCUACAUAGUGUAGUCCAGCUUGUGCCACCUAAGUGUCGGUGGUAGCUCCAGCAUUCCCAAGAGAACUCCUUCUCUCUUAAAUCUCUCUCAAAAUAGAUGGAUUGGUGUGGAAGAUUUGAAGCUAGUGGAGGUGAAUUCGCCUUCGGUCUUGUUUAUCUUCUCACUGUGAGGGCAAGUUGAGAGGUAAGCUUUUGCUACCCUGUUAAUGGCAUUUUCUUAUAGUGCGGUAUUUAGUCUAAGGAUGGAUUUAGUAGCUUUCUAAGUGCUAUUAGAUGAUUUAUGCUUGAAAUCCAAAGCUCUAGGUGUCUGGAAUUCUUGACUUAGUUGUAAACCUAGAGCUCAAAAUGCUAUUUUUGGUAAAUAGAGAGUUUGAUCUAAAUGGUUGUAAUUAAACUAAUUGGAUAGGUAACGAACACACGUUGGCGAAGGACGGUUCGGCAUCCGACGAGCGUUACAAAGUUGAUUAAAGGAAACGGACGCUUUAGGUUCGUUAUCGCUUGGGAGGGCGGAGGCGACGUCGUAAAUCAUUCUUGAAAUGGAUUUGAAGCAUCGUAACAAGAAACCGAAGACCUUUAAUUUUCGUGAUCGGGAUCGGUGGUCGUUUAAGUGGUCGUGGCAGGGAUUGGUCAAGCCGGCGGUGCGUGCCGCCGGUCGAGGCCGAUGCACAGUGACAAAAGCAAUCGGAACGCGAUAAAAAGGUGGGAGGAGUCCAUCCCGAGAGCAAUCGGGCUUCUUCCUAAUGUCUUAGGCUUAUCAUCUACAUGUAGCAUAUUGGUAUAUCGAUACCUCGCAUUAGGAGGAUAGACAAUGACAUGCAUUGCUAAUCAUUAUAUGAUGUUUAUGAUCUAUAGUUAUCUCGAUGUUAUGUGGCAUAUUGAAUGUAAUGGACAUAAGGAUUAUGAGAUAACAUUGGUAAACUUAUGAGCUAUAAAUGAGAGAAGAACCUGAGUGUGUGGAUUAAAGAAUAGUUUAAGGUGGCAUUGAACUUUAUUGUGCUAAAAACACAUAUGACUUGAACUAGUAAUGGUUGGUUGUCUAUACUAGAAACUCUAGUUAGAGUUGAUCAAGUUGAUAUUGGGAUAUUGCAUUAUAGGGUACUAGUUGGCAAUUGUUACAGGUUAUCAUGGCAUGCUAGUUGGGUAGUGUAGUGUUACUUGAUUAUACUUGUACCUAGUAUGCAUGAGAUUGGGACUUACGUUGUGGUGAAACCGUAACAAGGAUGAUUAAUGUGAUAAACUUGUUGAAUGCGAUUACAUUAAACUAUGUUUGAAUGAUUUAACGAUUAAGUUGAUAAUACGUAUUCAGUUGCAUUUAGAGCUAAUGAUUGUUGUCUGGGUGCAUAUUUGCAUGCUGAGUAGCUAUACAGUCUGAUGUAUUGAUCGAUGAUCUAGUAUGCAUGAUGAUAUAUGAUGAAACUUUAUGAUAAGGCUAGCCUAUGUUGAGGUGAUUAUAUGCUUAUGUUGCUAAAGAACUAGUAUGAUGUAAAUAGUGUUGAAUGAGUCCUAAUGUCGAGUGCGCAUUAGUUUUAGAAAAACUUAUGAGGGUGCAUGAUGAUUGUUGCAUAACCUUGGCAUGACCUUAGUGUAGUUGAAAACACUAUUGAGAUAUGGGUACAAGAAACCUUGACCAUGGAUGAAGAUUACCUUAGAGGGUAUGGUUGCUGUGCUCAGAGAUGAUUCACCGCUCACAUUGCAGUCUUGCGUUGUGGGGUCGGCUCCCUCAAGUUGUGGCCGGAGUUUAGGUCCAUUCUAGAGAGGCGCCCCGUGCUUGGCUCGGAUAGCCGGUUGUUAUCCGCAGGUGACUCGGGGACAUCGACCGCUAUGGCAUCCUCGGAGAUUGAUAUGUGAGCCUUGCUGUGUGAAACCUCGUGUUCACUUGGGGAUUGGCGUUACCUAUUUGCGGUCAUACCUUAUUGUGUGUUCAUGAUAGCUGCUUCGUUACCAUGGAGAUUUGUUGACUAUUGAGAACUCAUUAUUGUUGUUCAUGAUAGCUUGCUUCCAUAGGUUGUUGUUGUUGAUCAUAUUGCCUUUGGUGGCUUCACCUGAUUGUGGUGGUCUAAAGAUAGCCCUAUGAUGAAACCUAGUGUAUGUAGUUUAACCUUCACUAGACUUACCUUGAUAGCGAGCAAUAGGUCGCUUGGUAGUUGGUUAGCGGAUUUGACCUAUAUACAGUGAGGUGGGUAUAUCUAUUCCUUACUAUGAGAUUGAGUUACCUAUUGUACAUACUUAUUAUUGUUGUUCAUGGAUCGCUUGCUUCCAUUAGUUAGUUGUUGUGUACCUAACUAGAUUUGAGAACUUAGCAAGUUAGCCUAGCGGAUUGGGUAAUAACAUGAAUAGAUAAGAGUAUUGUUCAUACUAUGAUUAAAACAUGAGUUGAUUGAUACUAUGUGUUGUUGUUUAUUUCACUGUUGGGCAACUAGCAUGAUGGUAGGUAUUGCUUAGUGAUGUUCCAUUGAUACUUUGCCAUUUUGAUGGGCAUAGUAGAUUAAGUAGUAGUUUUCCAUAUAUCUUUCUAUUAAUCUAUCUUGUGCCAGCUUGACCUAGUGGAAGAUCGGCGGAGUCGGCGGCCGAACCCACUGGGAACUAUAUUAUAUAGUUCUCACCCCGUGUGGUUUUGGGUUACAGGUACACGACGAUUGAGCGGAUGGGCAGACGGAUGCGUUAGUGGGGCUUAGACGCCCUAGUGCUAGUUGAUAGUUUAUUUCCUAUUUUGCAUUAGAGUUACCCUAUACAUGUAUUGAGAGUAGCAUGAUGUUAUAGGAUGUGAGUAUUUUUGAGUAAAUGUAAUACAUGUUAUAUCUUUGGAAAUGUAAGCUAUAUAUUCAUAGUUGGAAAAGAUGAAGUUGUAUUAAAAUGUAUCGGAUUGAGAUGGUUGUAAUAGAAUAGUUAAAGUAUCUCUCUUUUGUUUCACUUGUAUGUCUUCUACUUGUUGACGCUUGCUCUUGUAUUGUUUCAGCAGUGUUUGUGCUCUUCGGCUGUUGUUGCAUGAUCAUGUAUGUAUUCAUUGAUUUACCUGGGAGCUUGAUUACUGAUCUCGGUUGUUAGCAUGGAACGCGGACAGGGGAGGGUGGUCUUGUCCGUUCGCGGUCGCCUGACGCGCCGAUACCGUGCAAAUCAGGUAGCGGCUCGGGGGCUGCCGCCGGGGCGUGCACAGGUCAUAGUGGUUACAUUCGACUUUACUUUUGCUUUAUACAUCAUGUUAGUACUGACUCUUUUGUGCUUUCGGCCUUGUGGUUGCUUCCUGAAGUCCGGUAAUUGCCAUCAUGGGAAUAUUUUUAGUAUAGUUCUCACGCUCCUGUUUUCGAUGGUCUUACUUUUCAGAGCCUUCAGGCACCGGCGAGCACGGGAAUCGCGGGCAAGGGGAUGCCUUGUUUAGUUAGCGAGGAGCGGCGUUCUUUGCCUACGGUGGUUUUGCUCUGUUCUUUUUGUAGUUGGCGAGAGUGAGAGUUUUGGAUCCAUGUGUAGAGUACCACCUUAUGUACCUAUUUUAGGAGUUGAUAUUUGGGAUUCUCCUACUGCUAUUUACUUUAUUGUUCUGUUUUAGUGAACUCCAAGUGUUAUAUCCUUAUUCCUUGUUGUAGCAUUUUAGAACUUUGACUAUG